This is a non-coding RNA of Hordeum vulgare subsp. vulgare (domesticated barley), 128 nucleotides long. The record is from Rfam. Lineage: Eukaryota; Viridiplantae; Streptophyta; Magnoliopsida; Poales; Poaceae.
AUCAUACUCCCUCCUCCGUCCGGAAUUACUUGUCACCAAAAUAAAAAGAAAUGAAUGUAUCUAGAAUUAAAAUAUGUCUAGAAUCAUCCAUUCCUAUGACAAGUAAUACCGGAUGGAGGGAGUAGUUA